RNAcentral lists this ribosomal RNA (410 nucleotides) under uncultured bacterium. Its description in RNAcentral is "bacterial SSU rRNA". It matches the Rfam family "Bacterial small subunit ribosomal RNA", at positions 434 to 842 of the family's 1533-position model. The record is from RNAcentral.
UUUUGUCGGAGAACAAAACCCGGGACGUGUCCCGGACUGCGUGUAUCCGAAGAAAAAGCAUCGGCUAACUCCGUGCCAGCAGCCGCGGUAAUACGGAGGAUGCGAGCGUUAUCCGGAUUUAUUGGGUUUAAAGGGUGCGUAGGCGGUCCGUUAAGUCAGCGGUAAAAUUGCGGGGCUCAACCCCGUCGAGCCGUUGAAACUGGCAGACUUGAGUUGGCGAGAAGUACGCGGAAUGCGCGGUGUAGCGGUGAAAUGCAUAGAUAUCGCGCAGAACUCCGAUUGCGAAGGCAGCGUACCGGCGCCAGACUGACGCUGAGGCACGAAAGCGUGGGGAUCGAACAGGAUUAGAUACCCUGGUAGUCCACGCAGUAAACGAUGAAUGCUGGUUGUCCGGGUCGAAUGAGAUCUGG